This 532-nucleotide ribosomal RNA is filed under the name uncultured Arthrobacter sp. RNAcentral describes it as "bacterial SSU rRNA". It matches the Rfam family "Bacterial small subunit ribosomal RNA", at positions 355 to 897 of the family's 1533-position model. The record is from RNAcentral. Lineage: Bacteria; Bacillati; Actinomycetota; Actinomycetes; Micrococcales; Micrococcaceae.
UGGGGAAUAUUGCACAAUGGGCGCAAGCCUGAUGCAGCGACGCCGCGUGAGGGAUGACGGCCUUCGGGUUGUAAACCUCUUUCAGUAGGGAAGAAGCGAAAGUGACGGUACCUGCAGAAGAAGCGCCGGCUAACUACGUGCCAGCAGCCGCGGUUAUACGUAGGGCGCAAGCGUUAUCCGGAAUUAUUGGGCGUAAAGAGCUCGUAGGCGGUUUGUCGCGUCUGCCGUGAAAGUCCGGGGCUUAACUCCGGAUCUGCGGUGGGUACGGGCAGACUAGAGUGAUGUAGGGGAGACUGGAAUUCCUGGUGUAGCGGUGAAAUGCGCAGAUAUCAGGAGGAACACCGAUGGCGAAGGCAGGUCUCUGGGCAUUAACUGACGCUGAGGAGCGAAAGCAUGGGGAGCGAACAGGAUUAGAUACCCUGGUAGUCCAUGCCGUAAACGUUGGGCACUAGGUGUGGGGGACAUUCCACGUUUUCCGCGCCGUAGCUAACGCAUUAAGUGCCCCGCCGGGGGAGUACGGCCGCAAGGCUAA